Plasmodium billcollinsi is the source of this 2104-nucleotide non-coding RNA. Lineage: Eukaryota; Apicomplexa; Aconoidasida; Haemosporida; Plasmodiidae. The record is from the annotation of a GenBank genome assembly.
AACCUGGUUGAUCUUGCCAGUAGUCAUAUGCUUGUCUCAAAGAUUAAGCCAUGCAAGUGAAAGUAUAUAUAUAUUUUAUAUGUAGAAACUGCGAACGGCUCAUUAAAACAGUUAUAGUCUACUUGACAUUUUGAUUAUAAGGAUAACUACGGAAAAGCUGUAGCUAAUACUUGCUUUAUUAUCCUUUGAUUUUUAUCUUUGGAUAAGUAUUUGUUAGGCCUUAUAAGAAAAAAGUUAUUAACUUAAGGAAUUAUAACAAAGAAGUAACACGUAAUAAAUUUAUUUUAUUUAGUGUGUAUCAAUCGAGUUUCUGACCUAUCAGCUUUUGAUGUUAGGGUAUUGGCCUAACAUGGCUAUGACGGGUAACGGGGAAUUAGAGUUCGAUUCCGGAGAGGGAGCCUGAGAAAUAGCUACCACAUCUAAGGAAGGCAGCAGGCGCGUAAAUUACCCAAUUCUAAAGAAGAGAGGUAGUGACAAGAAAUAACAAUGCAAGGCCAAUUUUUGGUUUUGUAAUUGGAAUGGUGGGAAUUUAAAACCUUCCCAGAGUAACAAUUGGAGGGCAAGUCUGGUGCCAGCAGCCGCGGUAAUUCCAGCUCCAAUAGCGUAUAUUAAAAUUGUUGCAGUUAAAACGCUCGUAGUUGAAUUUCAAAGAAUCGAUAUUUUAAAGUAACUAUUUUAGGUGAACUAUUUUUUGGCUUCACGCCUUUAAAUUGCUUUCUCCUAUUAUUAUGUUCUUUAAAUAAAAAAGAUUCUUUUUAAAAUCCCCACUUUGCUUUUGCUUUUUGGGGAUUUUGUUACUUUGAGUAAAUUAGAGUGUUCAAAGCAAACAGUUAAAGCAUUUUACUGUGUUUGAAUACUACAGCAUGGAAUAACAAAAUUGAACAAGCUAAAAUUUUUUGUUCUUUUUUCUUAUUUUGGCUUAGUUACGAUUAAUAGGAGUAGCUUGGGGACAUUCGUAUUCAGAUGUCAGAGGUGAAAUUCUUAGAUUUUCUGGAGACGAACAACUGCGAAAGCAUUUGUCUAAAAUACUUCCAUUAAUCAAGAACGAAAGUUAAGGGAGUGAAGACGAUCAGAUACCGUCGUAAUCUUAACCAUAAACUAUGCCGACUAGGUGUUGGAUGAAAGUGUUAAAAAUAAAAGUCAUCUUUCGAGGUGACUUUUAGAUUGCUUCCUUCAGUACCUUAUGAGAAAUCAAAGUCUUUGGGUUCUGGGGCGAGUAUUCGCGCAAGCGAGAAAGUUAAAAGAAUUGACGGAAGGGCACCACCAGGCGUGGAGCUUGCGGCUUAAUUUGACUCAACACGGGAAAACUCACUAGUUUAAGACAAGAGUAGGAUUGACAGAUUAAUAGCUCUUUCUUGAUUUCUUGGAUGGUGAUGCAUGGCCGUUUUUAGUUCGUGAAUAUGAUUUGUCUGGUUAAUUCCGAUAACGAACGAGAUCUUAACCUGCUAAUUAGCGGCAAGUACACCAUAUUCUUAAUUGAAAUUGAAUAUAGGUAAUUAUACAUUUAUUGAGUACAUCAAAUUAGGAUAUUUUUUAUUAAAAUAUCCUUUUCCCUGUUUACUAAUAAUUUGUUUUUUACUCUAUUUCAUUCUUCUUUUAAGAAUGUACUUGCUUGAUUGUAAAGCUUCUUAGAGGAACAUUGUGUGUCUAACACAAGGAAGUUUAAGGCAACAACAGGUCUGUGAUGUCCUUAGAUGAACUAGGCUGCACGCGUGCUACACUGAUAUAUAUAACGAGUUAUUAAAAAUAUACAUUUAUAUUUGGUAUUUUUUAAAUACUUUGUAUUUUAUGUAUACUUUUCCUCCGCCGAAAGGUGUAGGUAAUCUUUAUCAAUAUAUAUCGUGAUGGGGAUAGAUUAUUGCAAUUAUUAAUCUUGAACGAGGAAUGCCUAGUAAGCAUGAUUCAUCAGAUUGUGCUGACUACGUCCCUGCCCUUUGUACACACCGCCCGUCGCUCCUACCGAUUGAAAGAUAUGAUGAAUUGUUUGGACAAGAAAGAGGGGAAUUAUAUUUCUUUUUUUCUGGAAAAACCGUAAAUCCUAUCUUUUAAAGGAAGGAGAAGUCGUAACAAGGUUUCCGUAGGUGAACCUGCGGAAGGAUCAUUA